This is a long non-coding RNA of Lycium barbarum (goji berry), 1829 nucleotides long. RefSeq lists it as uncharacterized. The transcript is spliced from 4 exons. The record is from RefSeq and is a predicted model, not a curated record. Lineage: Eukaryota; Viridiplantae; Streptophyta; Magnoliopsida; Solanales; Solanaceae.
UUCACUCCAAUUCUCUCUGCUCGGCUGCUGUCUCCAACUUGCUUCUUGCUGCGCUAUUUCAAAAAUUCAAGGUAUCAUUUUUUUGUUCUUCUGGGCUUCUCUUGAUCUAUAUAUUUUGAGUUUUCUCCUAUUUCUAUCUUGAGAAUUCUUUCAUAAAUUAUGUCCUUUGACAGUCUCUAGACUCUAUUGUAACUAAUAUAAGUCUCGUAAGUUUUCCCUCUUUUGUCUUUCUCUUGCAUUAUUUUUAAAAGUUCGUCCAUAUUUGGUUCGAUGUUGGUUUAUUUAUUCUUCUGCAUAAUUUAUUGCUAAAUUUUCUACGGAAUUCUAUAUGAUUUUGAAUGUAAGUUCGGCAAGAAAUACUUUGGUUCGUCUUCUUUUUUUUUCUUCUUCAGAUUUUGGUUGUGCAAAAUGGUGUUUUAGUAUGAAUUUUUUGUUCUUUUGGAUGGGUAGAACCAAGUUUGCAUUUCAUGGCAUUCUUUGCUUAAAAAUAUCUUAAAUGUGUUUGAUUAAUUCAUGAGAGAGAUGUACUUCUAUGGUAAACUUUUUAGUUGUCAUUCAUAUCCCAUCUCUAUGUGCUUGUUUCUUAAGUAAGAAUGCACCUCUGCAUACAUGUUUUCUUCUCUAUGUUUGAGAUCAUUUUUAUUUUAUUAACAAGCCCAGGUCUCAUUAGCUUCCAUCCCAUUUUCUUUGAGGGAUUCAAAGUGUCCCUUCCUCUUCUGGUAAGCUUCUCAGUACACUCUUUCAAUUUCUCUAGUGUUUCUACAGAGAUUGUGGUGAUAAGAAAUCUUUGUUGUCUUUUUAUUUUCAGUACUUUGGUUUUUAUUUUCAGUACUUUGGUGGGUAUAUGAUAGAUUUUUUUUUUUGGCAGUUUAUUGUAGGAUUUUUUACUUGCAUGUUCCUAAUUUGGAUGGAUUUACUCAUGGAUGUUUGGAAAUUGGUUUGUCCCUUCUUAUUCUUCUGGCCUUUUUUUAUAAGAACUUUAUUUGGUAUAUCGCUCUCAGAAUUCAUGCUAUAUUAUUUAUUUGUAAAACAUUUCCUGUCAAUAUUAUUGUAAAGCUAUAUCUUCGGCAGACACAUGGCACCGAGAUUCAACAUCGACCGAAUAACAACUGACACACUUGAUUGAACUUGAAAAGUUCAAAUUGUGGACAUGAGUCGCGAGCAAGAAAGCCCUGAGAAUAAAAUCAUCUUCCAAAAUCUGAUUUUGGAAGAUGAAGAGACAAGCUUAAACCCUCGGAGACAUAUCUGAUCUCCACCGCAAGAGUUCGAGUUUCGCCCAAUGCGUAUGCACCACUACAUAAACUUUAUUGGGUACUCGACAAAGAAACUAUAAAUAGUUGAACAAGUCAAGCUGACUGAUGAGCGUGAGAAACCACUUCCACCAUCGACUAAGCUGAGCGUCAUAACUUUUGACCGCAUCGCUCAUAUGACUCCUAAUUUUUCUACAGAUAUUGACAUACUAGGAGUCGCUCUCCGUUGCGGCCCUCCAAAAUAUGCAGGUGGCCUUCAAAAACAGGUACCGAGAGAUUACCGUUGUUGAAAAUCAGUACUUCAAAGCACUCUCCUCUGAUGUGGUAUUUGUAAUAGUGAAGGUUGGCGAUUAAGCUGCGGAUGAUAGCUUCGGCCCAUUGUAGAUGUUGAAUUUGAAUAUGCUUGUGUUGUAUUCGAAGAUACAAACAGUUCUUAUAUUUUUUGGGGUAUCAUGUCUAUUGAAGAUGGUUCAACCAUAAUGUAUUUUUUAUGUCUUAUGCACAUGUUGUAUAUAAAUGUAUGCUAUUAAGCACAUAUUGGAGUGAUAUUAUGUUGAUUUUAUAAAAUUAUUGACUCUA